Molecule: unclassified non-coding RNA, 337 nt
Filed under: soil metagenome
Description: partial contains 5.8S ribosomal RNA, internal transcribed spacer 2, and large subunit ribosomal RNA
Rfam family: 5.8S ribosomal RNA (bases 1-120)
Source: RNAcentral
GAUGAAGAACGUAGCGAAAUGCGAUAAGUAAUGUGAAUUGCAGAAUUCAGUGAAUCAUCGAAUCUUUGAACGCACAUUGCGCCCCUUGGUAUUCCGAGGGGCAUGCCUGUUCGAGCGUCAUUACACCACUCAAGCUAUGCUUGGUAUUGGGCGUCGUCCUUAGUUGGGCGCGCCUUAAAGACCUCGGCGAGGCCACUCCGGCUUUAGGCGUAGUAGAAUUUAUUCGAACGUCUGUCAAAGGAGAGGAACUCUGCCGACUGAAUCCUUUAUUUUUCUAGGUUGACCUCGGAUCAGGUAGGGAUACCCGCUGAACUUAAGCAUAUCAAUAAGCGGAGGA